UUAACUGAAGAGUUUGAUCAUGGCUCAGAUUGAACGCUGGCGGCAGGCCUAACACAUGCAAGUCGAGCGGUAGCACAGAGAGCUUGCUCUCGGGUGACGAGCGGCGGACGGGUGAGUAAUGUCUGGGAAACUGCCUGAUGGAGGGGGAUAACUACUGGAAACGGUAGCUAAUACCGCAUAAUGUCGCAAGACCAAAGUGGGGGACCUUCGGGCCUCAUGCCAUCAGAUGUGCCCAGAUGGGAUUAGCUAGUAGGUGGGGUAACGGCUCACCUAGGCGACGAUCCCUAGCUGGUCUGAGAGGAUGACCAGCCACACUGGAACUGAGACACGGUCCAGACUCCUACGGGAGGCAGCAGUGGGGAAUAUUGCACAAUGGGCGCAAGCCUGAUGCAGCCAUGCCGCGUGUGUGAAGAAGGCCUUCGGGUUGUAAAGCACUUUCAGCGGGGAGGAAGGCGGUGAGGUUAAUAACCUCAUCGAUUGACGUUACCCGCAGAAGAAGCACCGGCUAACUCCGUGCCAGCAGCCGCGGUAAUACGGAGGGUGCAAGCGUUAAUCGGAAUUACUGGGCGUAAAGCGCACGCAGGCGGUCUGUCAAGUCGGAUGUGAAAUCCCCGGGCUCAACCUGGGAACUGCAUUCGAAACUGGCAGGCUAGAGUCUUGUAGAGGGGGGUAGAAUUCCAGGUGUAGCGGUGAAAUGCGUAGAGAUCUGGAGGAAUACCGGUGGCGAAGGCGGCCCCCUGGACAAAGACUGACGCUCAGGUGCGAAAGCGUGGGGAGCAAACAGGAUUAGAUACCCUGGUAGUCCACGCCGUAAACGAUGUCGAUUUGGAGGUUGUGCCCUUGAGGCGUGGCUUCCGGAGCUAACGCGUUAAAUCGACCGCCUGGGGAGUACGGCCGCAAGGUUAAAACUCAAAUGAAUUGACGGGGGCCCGCACAAGCGGUGGAGCAUGUGGUUUAAUUCGAUGCAACGCGAAGAACCUUACCUGG
This 987-nucleotide ribosomal RNA is filed under the name Acinetobacter baumannii. RNAcentral describes it as "bacterial SSU rRNA". It matches the Rfam family "Bacterial small subunit ribosomal RNA", at positions 1 to 978 of the family's 1533-position model. The record is from RNAcentral. Lineage: Bacteria; Pseudomonadati; Pseudomonadota; Gammaproteobacteria; Moraxellales; Moraxellaceae.